GACGAACGCUGGCGGCGUGCUUAACACAUGCAAGUCGAACGGAAAGGCCCUGCUUGCAGGGUACUCGAGUGGCGAACGGGUGAGUAACACGUGGGUGAUCUGCCCUGCACUUCGGGAUAAGCCUGGGAAACUGGGUCUAAUACCGGAUAGGAGCCAUUUUUAGUGUGAUGGUUGGAAAGUUUUUUCGGUGUAGGAUGAGCUCGCGGCCUAUCAGCUUGUUGGUGGGGUAAUGGCCUACCAAGGCGGCGACGGGUAGCCGGCCUGAGAGGGUGGACGGCCACAGUGGGACUGAGAGACGGCCCAGACUCCUACGGGAGGCAGCAGUGGGGAAUAUUGCACAAUGGGCGCAAGCCGGAUGCAGCGACGCCGCGUGGGGGAUGACGGCCUUCGGGUUGGAAACUCCUUUCGCUAGGGACGAAGCUUUUUGUGACGGUACCUAGAGAAGAAGCACCGGCUAACUACGUG
This 465-nucleotide ribosomal RNA is filed under the name uncultured bacterium. Its description in RNAcentral is "partial 16S ribosomal RNA". It matches the Rfam family "Bacterial small subunit ribosomal RNA", at positions 28 to 507 of the family's 1533-position model. The record is from RNAcentral.